This is a long non-coding RNA of Acromyrmex echinatior (Panamanian leafcutter ant), 359 nucleotides long. RefSeq lists it as uncharacterized. The record is from RefSeq and is a predicted model, not a curated record. Lineage: Eukaryota; Metazoa; Arthropoda; Insecta; Hymenoptera; Formicidae.
AGAUUACCUGCGCGUGAGACGAAUUUAAUUGAAAUCAAUUGCAGACUGCUUCGCGGAUGGCGCUGAGCUCUUGCCGAGAGAACCAUUGAAUUAAGUAAUAUUUUUGCGAAAGUUGUAUAAGUACAAUGAACUGUAAUCUGAAAGGAGGAGAAGGCUUAGAAGGCGAUGGCGAAACAAAAUCUUAGGAUUAAUAUCGCAAUUACAGCUUCACUGUUGUGCAUCAUAUCGGUGAGUCAAAAAUUAACUUUUAGAUUAAAGUAGUGGAUCAGUGAAAAUUGUAUUAGUUAUAUGGAAGAUAGUCAGUUAGGAACAUAAGAAUAUUAUACAAAUAAAUUUAAUGUCUCAACAGAUCCAUUGCA